RNAcentral lists this transfer RNA (72 nucleotides) under Chryseobacterium sp. NRRL B-14859. RNAcentral's name for it is "tRNA-Glu". It matches the Rfam family "tRNA". From Rfam's summary of the family: Transfer RNA (tRNA) molecules are approximately 80 nucleotides in length. Their secondary structure includes four short double-helical elements and three loops (D, anti-codon, and T loops). Further hydrogen bonds mediate the characteristic L-shaped molecular structure. tRNAs have two regions of fundamental functional importance: the anti-codon, which is responsible for specific mRNA codon recognition, and the 3' end, to which the tRNAs corresponding amino acid is attached (by aminoacyl-tRNA synthetases). tRNAs cope with the degeneracy of the genetic code in two manners: having more than one tRNA (with a specific anti-codon) for a particular amino acid; and 'wobble' base-pairing, i.e. permitting non-standard base-pairing at the 3rd anti-codon position. The record is from RNAcentral. Lineage: Bacteria; Pseudomonadati; Bacteroidota; Flavobacteriia; Flavobacteriales; Weeksellaceae. RNAcentral also lists the same sequence under 1 other name.
GCUCUAUUCGUCUAAUGGUGAGGACAUCUGCCUUUCGAGCAGGGAAUAAGGGUUCGAUUCCCUUAUAGAGUA